This 301-nucleotide long non-coding RNA is filed under the name Gallus gallus (chicken). RNAcentral's name for it is "long non-coding RNA NONGGAT007866". Lineage: Eukaryota; Metazoa; Chordata; Aves; Galliformes; Phasianidae. The record is from RNAcentral.
GGGGGCUCCCCCCGCGGCGAGGCGGGCGGCGGGGAGGUGCCGUGCGGGUCGGUCAGCGCGUCCCCUCCCCGCUGCCGGCGGCCCGGGCCGAGCUCCGAGCUCCCGGCCGCCGCCAUCGGGAAGCCGGGCCGCGCCGCCGCGGCCAUGGCGACGGACGUGAUGCCCACCUGUGUUUGCUGUUCUGUGCUGUCUUUCAAAACUGUGCCCUCAAGGGGAGGUGACCUUUGACAAGGCCCGGACUGACACGAUGUGGACGCGGCCUUUGGAGGACUCCUCCUGUGAACGUGAGUAGAUGGAGCUA